RNAcentral lists this ribosomal RNA (104 nucleotides) under Otolemur garnettii (small-eared galago). Lineage: Eukaryota; Metazoa; Chordata; Mammalia; Primates; Galagidae. The record is from RNAcentral.
GUCUACAACUAUACCAACCUGAAUGAAGCUGAUCUUGACUGAUCUUGGAAGCUAAGCAGGGUUGGGCCUGGUCAAUAUGUGGAUGAAAGAAUUAGUUGGGGGUU